Molecule: ribosomal RNA, 253 nt
Filed under: uncultured bacterium
Lineage: Bacteria
Description: partial 16S ribosomal RNA
Rfam family: Bacterial small subunit ribosomal RNA
Source: RNAcentral
UACGGGGGGGGUAAGCGUUGUUCGGAAUUACUGGGCGUAAAGGGCUCGUAGGCGGCCAACUAAGUCGGACGUGAAAUCCCCGGGCUCAACCCGGGAACUGCGUCCGAUACUGGAAGGCUUGAAUCCGGGAGAGGGAUGUGGAAUUCCAGGUGUAGCGGUGAAAUGCGUAGAUAUCUGGAGGAACACCGGUGGCGAAGGCGACAUCCUGGACCGGUAUUGACGCUGAGGCGCGAAAGCCAGGGGAGCAAACGGG